Molecule: ribosomal RNA, 472 nt
Filed under: uncultured Chloroflexota bacterium
Lineage: Bacteria; Bacillati; Chloroflexota
Description: bacterial SSU rRNA
Rfam family: Bacterial small subunit ribosomal RNA
Source: RNAcentral
AACUUAAAUGAAUUGACGGGGCCCGCACAAGCAGCGGAGCGUGUGGUUUAAUUCGAUGAUACGCGAAGAACCUCACCCAGGUUUGACAUGCAUGUGGUACCAAGGUGAAAGCUGAGGGACCCUUCGGGGAGCAUGCACAGGUGUUGCACGGCCGUCGUCAGCUCGUGCCGUGAGGUGUUGGGUUAAGUCCCGCAACGAGCGCAACCCCUGUCGCCAGUUGUAUUUUUCUGGCGAGACUGCCGAGAAAACCUCGGAGGAAGGAGGGGACGAUGUCAGGUCAGCGUGGCCCUUACGCCUGGGGCUACACACACGCUACAAUGGGCAGUACAACGGGUCGCGAAGCCGCGAGGUGGAGCUAAUCCCAUCAAAGCUGUCCUCAGUUCGGACUGCAGGCUGAAACCCGCCUGUAUGAAGCCGGAGUUGCUAGUAACCGCAGGUCAGCAUUACUGCGGUGAAUACGUUCCCGGGCCUU